RNAcentral lists this ribosomal RNA (279 nucleotides) under uncultured bacterium. Its description in RNAcentral is "partial 16S ribosomal RNA". It matches the Rfam family "Bacterial small subunit ribosomal RNA", at positions 506 to 784 of the family's 1533-position model. The record is from RNAcentral.
UGCCAGCCGCCGCGGUAAUACGGAGGGUGCGAACGUUGCUCGGAAUUAUUGGGCGUAAAGCACAUGUAGGCGGCGCAGCAAGUUGGAUGUGAAAGCCCAGGGCUCAACCUUGGAAGUGCAUCCAAAACUGCUGUGCUUGAGUCCCGGAGGGGCCCAGAGAAUUCCCGGUGUAGAGGUGAAAUUCGUAGAUAUCGGGAGGAAUACCAGUGGCGAAGGCGGCACACUGGGUCUUAACUGACGCUGAGGCACGAAAGCUAGGGUAGCGAACGGGAUUAGAUA